CUUUACUGUAGCUUUGCAUUGGACUUUGAACCGGUCUGUGUAGGAUAGGUGGGAGACUGUGAAGCCGGAACGCUAGUUUCGGUGGAGUCAACCUUGAAAUACCACCCUGGUUUGUUUGAGGUUCUAACCUUGGUCCGUGAAUCCGGACCGGGGACCGUGCAUGGUAGGCAGUUUGACUGGGGCGGUCUCCUCCCAAAAGGUAACGGAGGAGUACGAAGGUACGCUUAGGGCGGUCGGACAUCGCCCACAAAGUGCAAUGGCAAAAGCGUGCUUGACUGCGAGACCCACAAGUCGAGCAGGUACGAAAGUAGGUCAUAGUGAUCCGGUGGUUCUGUAUGGAAGGGCCAUCGCUCAACGGACAAAAGGUA
RNAcentral lists this ribosomal RNA (368 nucleotides) under uncultured organism. Its description in RNAcentral is "bacterial LSU rRNA". It matches the Rfam family "Bacterial large subunit ribosomal RNA", at positions 2099 to 2465 of the family's 2925-position model. The record is from RNAcentral.